Molecule: ribosomal RNA, 455 nt
Filed under: uncultured bacterium
Lineage: Bacteria
Description: bacterial SSU rRNA
Rfam family: Bacterial small subunit ribosomal RNA
Source: RNAcentral
UACGGGAGGCAGCAGGGGGAAUAUUGCACAAUGGGCGAAAGCCUGAUGCAGCUAUGCCGCGUGUAUGAAGAAGGCCUUAGGGUUGUAAAGUACUUUCAUCGGGGAGGAAAAAACAAAACUAAUAAUUUUAUUUCUUGACGUUACCCGAAAAAGAAGCACCGGCUAACUCCGUGCCAGCAGCCGCGGUAAUACGGAGGGUGCUAGCGUUAAUCAGAAUUACUGGGCGUAAAGAGCACGUAGGUGGUUUUUUAAGUUCAGAUGUGAAAUCCCUGGGCUUAACCUAGGAACUGCAUUUUGAAACUGAAAUACUAGAGUAUCGUAGAGGGAGGUAGAAUUCUAGGUGUAGCGGUGAAAUGCGUAGAUAUCUGGAGGAAUACCUGUGGCGAAAGCGGCCUCCUAAACGAAUACUGACACUGAGGUGCGAAAGCGUGGGGAGCAAACAGGGAUUAGAUACC